GGAUGUUUAGCUCAGUUGGUUAGAGCGUUCGGUUCACGUCCGAAAGGUCACUGGUUCGAAUCCAGUAUCAUCCA
RNAcentral lists this transfer RNA (74 nucleotides) under Candidatus Buchananbacteria bacterium. Its description in RNAcentral is "tRNA-Val". It matches the Rfam family "tRNA". From Rfam's summary of the family: Transfer RNA (tRNA) molecules are approximately 80 nucleotides in length. Their secondary structure includes four short double-helical elements and three loops (D, anti-codon, and T loops). Further hydrogen bonds mediate the characteristic L-shaped molecular structure. tRNAs have two regions of fundamental functional importance: the anti-codon, which is responsible for specific mRNA codon recognition, and the 3' end, to which the tRNAs corresponding amino acid is attached (by aminoacyl-tRNA synthetases). tRNAs cope with the degeneracy of the genetic code in two manners: having more than one tRNA (with a specific anti-codon) for a particular amino acid; and 'wobble' base-pairing, i.e. permitting non-standard base-pairing at the 3rd anti-codon position. Lineage: Bacteria; Candidatus Buchananiibacteriota. The record is from RNAcentral.